Molecule: ribosomal RNA, 1786 nt
Filed under: Campylobacter jejuni
Lineage: Bacteria; Pseudomonadati; Campylobacterota; Epsilonproteobacteria; Campylobacterales; Campylobacteraceae
Description: bacterial LSU rRNA
Rfam family: Bacterial large subunit ribosomal RNA
Source: RNAcentral
AAGUUUAGCAGAACAUUCUGGAAAGUAUAACCAUAGAGGGUGAUAGUCCCGUAUGCGAAAAACAAACCUUAGCUAGCAGUAUCCUGAGUAGGGCGGGACACGAGGAAUCCUGUCUGAAUCCGGGUCGACCACGAUCCAACCCUAAAUACUAAUACCAGAUCGAUAGUGCACAAGUACCGUGAGGGAAAGGUGAAAAGAACUGAGGUGAUCAGAGUGAAAUAGAACCUGAAACCAUUUGCUUACAAUCAUUCAGAGCCCUAUGUAGCAAUACAGGGUGAUGGACUGCCUUUUGCAUAAUGAGCCUGCGAGUUGUGGUGUCUGGCAAGGUUAAGCAAACGCGAAGCCGUAGCGAAAGCGAGUCUGAAUAGGGCGCUUAGUCAGAUGCUGCAGACCCGAAACGAAGUGAUCUAUCCAUGAGCAAGUUGAAGCUAGUGUAAGAACUAGUGGAGGACUGAACCCAUAGGCGUUGAAAAGCCCCGGGAUGACUUGUGGAUAGGGGUGAAAGGCCAAUCAAACUUCGUGAUAGCUGGUUCUCUCCGAAAUAUAUUUAGGUAUAGCGUUGUGUCGUAAUAUAAGGGGGUAGAGCACUGAAUGGGCUAGGGCAUACACCAAUGUACCAAACCCUAUCAAACUCCGAAUACCUUAUAUGUAAUCACAGCAGUCAGGCGGCGAGUGAUAAAAUCCGUCGUCAAGAGGGAAACAACCCAGACUACCAGCUAAGGUCCCUAAAUCUUACUUAAGUGGAAAACGAUGUGAAGUUACUUAAACAACCAGGAGGUUGGCUUAGAAGCAGCCAUCCUUUAAAGAAAGCGUAAUAGCUCACUGGUCUAGUGAUUUUGCGCGGAAAAUAUAACGGGGCUAAAGUAAGUACCGAAGCUGUAGACUUAGUUUACUAAGUGGUAGGAGAGCGUUCUAUUUGCGUCGAAGGUAUACCGGUAAGGAGUGCUGGAGCGAAUAGAAGUGAGCAUGCAGGCAUGAGUAGCGAUAAUUAAUGUGAGAAUCAUUAACGCCGUAAACCCAAGGUUUCCUACGCGAUGCUCGUCAUCGUAGGGUUAGUCGGGUCCUAAGUCGAGUCCGAAAGGGGUAGACGAUGGCAAAUUGGUUAAUAUUCCAAUACCAACAUUAGUGUGCGAUGGAAGGACGCUUAGGGCUAAGGGGGCUAGCGGAUGGAAGUGCUAGUCUAAGGUCGUAGGAGGUUAUAUAGGCAAAUCCGUAUAACAAUACUCCGAGAACUGAAAGGCUUUUUGAAGUCUUCGGAUGGAUAGAAGAACCCCUGAUGCCGUCGAGCCAAGAAAAGUUUCUAAGUUUAGCUAAUGUUGCCCGUACCGUAAACCGACACAGGUGGGUGGGAUGAGUAUUCUAAGGCGCGUGGAAGAACUCUCUUUAAGGAACUCUGCAAAAUAGCACCGUAUCUUCGGUAUAAGGUGUGGUUAGCUUUGUAUUAGGAUUUACUCCGAAAGCAAGGAAACUUACAACAAAGAGUCCCUCCCGACUGUUUACCAAAAACACAGCACUCUGCUAACUCGUAAGAGGAUGUAUAGGGUGUGACGCCUGCCCGGUGCUCGAAGGUUAAUUGAUGGGGUUAGCAUUAGCGAAGCUCUUGAUCGAAGCCCGAGUAAACGGCGGCCGUAACUAUAACGGUCCUAAGGUAGCGAAAUUCCUUGUCGGUUAAAUACCGACCUGCAUGAAUGGCGUAACGAGAUGGGAGCUGUCUCAAAGAGGGAUCCAGUGAAAUUGUAGUGGAGGUGAAAAUUCCUCCUACCCGCGGCAAGACGGAAAGACCCCG